This 1137-nucleotide long non-coding RNA is filed under the name Cyanistes caeruleus (blue tit). RNAcentral's name for it is "lncRNA (ENSCCEG00000003719.1)". Lineage: Eukaryota; Metazoa; Chordata; Aves; Passeriformes; Paridae. The record is from RNAcentral.
CUGCUUCCUGGUCACUGGGAGCACUGGGAAGGGGCAGAUCCCCCCUCCGAUGCCCACCUUUCUGGCAGGCGGUGCGGCUGGAGUCGGCGCGGCCGCGGCGGGUGCGGUACCUGCUGGUGGUGCGGUCGGAGGAGGCGGGAGCCGAGGCAGAGACGGCGCUGCUGGGAGUGGAUUUUGCCCACGAAGGGGCCACCCUCUGCACCCUGGGCAUGGUGCUGCCCCUCUGGAGCGACACCCAGGUGUUCCUCGACGGCGACGGGUAAGGGAUGGGACAGAAUUUUGGGACAGGGAGGGGCUUAGAGGGGUCGGAGUGCUCACCCUGACCCACGUAUGUCCCCAUGAUGCCCAGGGGUUUCAGCGUGACAUCGGGGGGAGAGACACGCAUCUUCAAGCCCAUCUCUGUGCAGACCAUGUGGUGAGAGAAGCCUGGGUGUGGCCACGGGGGGUGUGAGCACAAGGGGGGUGGCACCACCUCGAGGACUGGGGACAUGGGCACUGCCAUGGGCACAGGGGAUCUCAGCUCCAUUACAGACACGGGAGAUGUGGCACUGUUACGAACACAGGUGAUGCUGUCACCAUCCUGGUGUCGCACUAUAUUAGGAACGACAAAGCACGACGCUGACUCUCUUCUGGGUUGCACAAGAGCGCAAGUUUUAUUAUUCCAGAUCUUCUUUUAUAGACAGGUCCAAGAGGUAAAACUCUCAUUGGUCAUUAAACCAACACAUCACCAUCACUGGUCAAUUGGGAACAACUCCCCUUGACUGUUUCUUACAAGGAAACUACAAGGAUCCAAACAAUACCUGCAAAUGUUUUCCUUCUCUAAGGACUGUUUGGAUUUCUCCAUACGAUUUCUCAGGCCAGAGUGAGAACUUUGUGUGACUUAGUUUCACACAGGCUCUGUGCUCCCCUGCCUGCUUUCUUACAAUCAGCAUCCAUAAUCCCGGGUGUGGGGAUGUGGGCACCACGCUGGACACAGGGAUGCGUGCACGGGGCAUUUGGCUAUCACCAUGGCCACCACCAUGGGCCCCUGGGCACAGUCAUGGGGAAGGAGCUGGGGAGAGUUUGGGUGGCACCCACAAGCUGGGGACAACCAGUGAGGGGGACAUAGGUGUCGGGGUGGUGGCGGGGUGGCGCUGG